This is a long non-coding RNA of Dromaius novaehollandiae (emu), 11466 nucleotides long. RefSeq lists it as uncharacterized. Lineage: Eukaryota; Metazoa; Chordata; Aves; Casuariiformes; Dromaiidae. The transcript has 2 exons. The record is from RefSeq and is a predicted model, not a curated record.
UCAACACACAUCCCCCUGGUCCUCUGCUGCACCUGCUGAGCUGCCAGCAGCCAUUAACAUUCAGCUGAAGCCAGCAGCCUGUUCGGAUCUACCCGAGACGUUUGGCAGUGCAGAUGGCAUGUGCUGUCUACCUCUACCUGUAACAUCUGGCAGCAGUCAAGUAUGAGAAAGCCCAAACGAGAAGGAGGGAGAGAAAUGGGAAGAAGGAAGAAGAAUAAGAAGGCACAUGACUACAUAAAUUGGACUUUGCCAUCUUGGGAACGUCACAUCAUGAAACUGCUUCAGUGUCCAAUGCUUGUGGCAGAUCACCUGAUCAGAACCGCAGGAGAGAAGAUGCUUAAUACAAAAUCAAAUGGGACAAGUUCUGGUCUCAUUUUAUUGUUCUGUAUUCACAGUAACUAUGACAUAGGGGAGGCAUUUGCUACUCGGGGAACAAAAACAUCUUUAUAAUCUCUUUGACUUUUAACCCAGUGUGCAGUUUAUAUAUGAAAUUUUGUCCGUGCUCUUCACGUCUUACAAGAAGCAGUAAGAAACUCGGUACCCUGUGACGGAGGGUAUUGCCCACUGGAUGAUACCUGUCUUCUUAUGCUUCCCAUUCCCCUUCUUUCCCCCAGCAGAUCCAAGUGAUGGGGUAAGUUUAGGCAAGAAGGCUUAUGAAUUUGAAGGGAUGCUACCUGCUUGGGUUUUCCCUACUCAGAUCAUUAUUUUAUGCUUAGGCAAUCAACAUUUCAACAUUUUUGUCUUGAAUAAGGUCAUUUUCCUUGUGCUAGGAUUUUGGAAAUGCCAAACUACAUCUAGCUAUUCUCAGGAAUGUUUAACAACACUCAUUGAAAUAGAGAUUCGUAGCAUCAGUGAAUCACUCCAGUAUAUUUUUGUCAGCAGUCUGUGUUUCUCCCUCAAUAGAUGUUGCUGUAAGAUAUUUCUUUGCACUUGGAAUCCAGCAUAAGUUUAUUGUGCCUGAACUGAAGUUCAAUAUAAAAAUAUGGGAUGGUUAUGUUAUGGAUCUUACUCUUUCAUGUUUGGGGAAAAUAGGUAAAAUAUAUAUAGAAACCUCGAUAUCUUUCAUGUUCCGUAUUGUAAAGAACUCAACAUAAUUGUUUGAUCAAGGAACUCUUAAAAUGAAAUUUGAGUGAAACCCUUUUUGUUCAUAUUCUAAAUUAUAUUCCUAGUCCAAGUAUUUUUGAAAAACUUCAUUAUUAUAUUGGCAUACAUUGUGGCUAAUAGCAACUUCCAAGGGAGAGCUGGGCAUUUAAUACAACUCUCAAAUAUUUUCAAUAGAAAAUGGAGUCACAUGGAAAUGCUAACUAUAUUCCAAAUAAAUAAUUGAAAUUUGCAUAUCAUAAGGAAGUGUCUGCCAUAGAGAGGUUGCUAAUAAUGAGAUUUAUUACACAGGGAAAACAGUUUUAUACGGUGAUUCAAUUAGUUUUGAAAACUUGCAGUACUGUGCCAGUGGUGUUUAUUGCCAUUACUUGCUUUCUAGCCAGCAAAUUCAUUGACUGUGUUCAGGCAAAAGUCAUAAAAUUGGAAUGGAUGACUUUGUAGAGACAAUGUCGAUACAGUCUGGCCCUUAAUUUUCUUGUGCUAGGGGUUAUGCCAUCAUGUCUUCUAGUUUUGGCUCUUUUAAGGCUUGUUCCUCACCAUUUUAAAGUUUUGCCAUUGAAUUCAGUCAAACUGGACUUAGCUGAAAAUUCCUCUGGUAUUCCAUGGAGUUUUAGGAAGUUAUUUAAAUAUAUUCAGAUAGCAUGUCGGUGCAGCUAGAGUUAUUUAUUAAUGGAUCCAUGUCUAUAUGGACAUGAAUCUGGAUCCGUGUGAUAUUUUAAAACUCUGAACUUCAGACCAGAUUCUCAAAGACAGGGAAGUAUCUAAAUCUAAUUGAUUCCCUGUGCAAGGUGAAUACACGCUUCUGAUUAUAUCUCUGUGAAAUAUUUAGGUCCUGCUUUAAAACAGUUCAGUACUAUAACAUUUAGCAUGAGCUGCCAGUGAGACUGUUUGGGCACAGAGUUAGUCAUGAAGCUGAAUGUGCUGCGGAGCUGAGAAUCUAGUGAUCAAGGAACUUCUAAAAGCCGUACUUCAGAUUUUCGCCUGGUUAAGAAAUAUUUUUACCUAAAAUUUACCCUCUAAUUCUCAAAUUCUGAACUUGUGGUUUGCUAGGUCACUGCAAAUGCUCUCCUUCAAAAUUACUCACUCAGAAUAAUGAGACUCUUUAUGUAAAGUGGCCUAUUAUCAUAAAUGGAUAAGGCACAACCUCUUAGGCAAGUAGAGAGGAUUGUAUGAGGAGUAGAUCUCAGUCAUGUACAAUAGCUCCUUCAAAGAUGGGGAAUUUUCUUGAAAAUUAUGAUACUUCAAAAAUUCUCUUUCCUUAAUCUUUGCUAAAAUUACCUGACUUCUGUCAUAAAUCACUUCUUCUAACUACCGAAGGUUAUCUACUUAAAAUGGUAAUGAGCUUUAUGUUUGAAACUUUGCAGGAUUGCUGGUAGGUAAUUCUAGAAGAACAUCUUAAAAGAGACUUUGGAACUUUCUUAAGUGUUACAAAACAGAAUGAGCUAUUUAAAUUAACAAGCAAGCUGUUAGAUUAACAAUUAGUGUAGAGAAAAAAUAUCAUAGUUAGGCAAACUUCAUUAAUAUGCUGCUGUGGAAACAGCUAUUUCAACAAUUUCUUGAUCACUAAAACUCUUCAAAUCCUACCCUCUCUCUCAGUCUAUAAAAACAUGUGAAGUUUUUGGGCGGAGGGAAGAAGAGAGUGGAGGAGGGCAGGGAUGUAAACCUAAAAUACACACAGCUCGAAUUGAAAGAAAAUAAUAAUAAAUUCGUUGAUAAAAUACUUUUUUUCCAUUCAAGUUUCUCAGCCUCUUAAGACUCCAUAGCAAAACACAUCCAGCUAAUCUUGAUUAGCUGUAUCACAGGAUGACAAACAGAUGUGAAGAGGCAAGCUUGAAUUAAAAAUAUAAUCCCAGUAGUUAUCUACUUUGCAAGGCAAAGGAAGGAACGACUAUUACAGAAGCCUGCUGGGUAACAGCACACUAAAAACUUUCCAUCUGCCAAUACAAAAGUUUGGUAAUAUUCUGCUAGAUCUUGAAAAACUCUGUCAGUGAUACUUUACAUGGGUGACAGUGCAAAGUAUGUAGUUUUAAAAAGCUCAUCCAUCAAUCUAAGGUUAUAGACUUUCUGGUAAAUGUGCAAAUGGAAGAUUCUGCUGGAAGUCUGAAGCAAACUUGCUUGUCUUCAGUGAAAUGCGAUGCAGAUUUUAUCUAGUAACAGCACCUGUUCCUAAGAAGAAAGGCUGUCCAGACCAGUAAGGUGAUACUUAUUGGUUUAUAUUAAUUUCAGCUUUCUGCUUUUCCACUGUUCAUUAUGUAGCCCAGGCUCUGCAGAGAGGGAGGAAAAAAAAAAGAAAAAAAGAAUAUAUGUUCAAAUCUUACUGUUUUUUCCUUCAAGAACUUCACAUAUAUAUAGCACUUGUGAAAAUAACUCAGCUUCACUCUAUAUUUAGUAGGAUUUUGUUAUUUUUAUUUGUUCUCUUAACUCAAAAUCGUAUAUCAACUUUUCAUAUGUUUAAUAUUUUGGAACAUGCAGAAAGCUGGCUCAAAGUCUCUUUUCCAGUGAUUCUAAGACCUACACCUUUUGCCUUUCCUCAUAUAUUAUUUAGUUAAGUAUCAUCUUGGUUGCCUAUGUGUGUAAGAAAGCAGGAAAGCUGUGGAAUGCUAAAUAGGUGGAGUAUGUUUCUCAUGCACUGCUAACCAGUCCAGAGAGAGAGAGCAAGAUCAAUUUAUUUACUACAACUGCAAUGACACUACAAGUAAUACUACUAUCAUUGACCCAAACCCAUCAACCAUUAACUCAGUUUUACCAAUGGAAAAAAAUGAAUCGUUUCACAUAAAAAAUUUCCAAUCUGUGGAAUUCACUACAACAACAGCCCAGCCUCCACCUGUCAGAUCCCCACUCCCUGCCCUCCCAGACAAUAACCGCCAAAUAACAAAACAACAGUUACUAGCAAAACUGAGAGUUUGGCAGGGUAUGUUACAACCAGAUCACUUUUUCAGGUCAUAUGCUCUUGUUUGCAGAGUUUGCGAAGGAAUGUUUUCUUGUGCAGAGUACAGCAAAUGUGUUUUAGUGUGCUAAUUCUAUUUAGUUUAAAGAAGUAGGCUUUUGGUGGUCUGAGAGUGCAUGUGUGGAUUUCUUUGCUAUAAAGUAGAACCUAUUGGCUUGAUGUUUGUGUAACUGAGUAUAUCGGCUUGCAGUGAAUCUCUGAUUCUUCAUCAGGGGAAGAUUAUGUUGGGCUAGUUACGUCCACUUUCUCAGUGAGAGGUUUCCCAAGGUUCUGCUUAGUCUUUUGUGGCGGUGAAAAUCCUUGUGGUCUAUUAUACAAUUAUCCUUGAAAGAAUACUAUACCUUUCACUCCUAGAAAUAAGCAAUCUGCUCUCUGUAGCAUUCACCAUUACAAGGAGUCAUUUAUUACAACAGAACUUUGUCAUUCAAUUAUGCUUUUAUAUAGAACACAUGGUCAAAAAUCUCAAUCACAAAUGUCUGAAGUUGGUUAAAGAAGUUGGCGGUGUUGAGAACUUGAGAGAUGCUGGUCCUGCGCGGAGGUGCCCGAGCAUGAACCAGUGUGCCCGAGCAGAGCAGUGCCCAUCAGAGAGGACAACAUUUGCAGACUUCUGAUCCUUUUGCUUUACCGCUUUUCAGGUUAUGAGCAUUCUCCUAAGGCAUAUGAAAUAUUUCUUUUCUAAGGUAUUGUUCUCAGCAUGCACUGAACUGAUAAAAGUGAAAAAUAUUUAGCUAAAGCUUUAAUUACUUUAGCCUACUUACUAUGUUCAACACCUUGCUGUGUGCCUCAUUUUGACUUCUUUUGAUCCACAUUUUCAUGAGAAAAAAAUGAUUAUAGGUAUUACAGGUAGAGGACUGAUUAACAGUAAGAGAGUUGUGGCAUAGUAGAAAACCUGUCAAAUUCAUAACCUAGUUGUUUUUAUGAGAUACGUUUUGUUAUGCUAUGUAGAAAAAGAUUUAAAUAACGGAUCAUUUCUUUCCCCAAAUAGGUCACCUUUCUGUUAGAGUUAACUGCUGCUAGUAGCGAUAAUUUACCUGCUUUAUGCCUUAGACAGGAAUUCAGUUGAAAGGAAUUCCUUGCAUUUCAGUAUGCAGUAAAUGAUGCUCGUUAGGGAUAAAUCAAGGUUUUCACUUAGCAUAUCAUAAAGCUGACUGAACUUGUAUAGGGUUUGGCUUUUGUUGAACCUUAUGAAAUCUACGAGCCAGAAGCUAUUUGUUCCCAUAGCUAGCCCAUUUCUUUCUUACCCCACAGAGAGAUUAGAAGAAUAUCAUAAAGCAAUGGUGAUAUAGGAAAGGUAACUGAAUCUGUCCUGCUCAUUCCCAGAGGCUCAGAAGGUGGAAUGGGAGCUUCAGUGGCGGGAAGUUACUCUUAGAGAACGGAGUGACCCUGGAAAGAUAGAGCAAAACCUCAAAAACGGCCUAACUCAGGAAGGAAGCUUUGAACUUCAAGUCUCCUUUUAAGCCAACUGCUACUGGUUGCAGAGAGCGGAUAUUCUCCCAGCUUAUGUUACUUCCCUCUUCAAAUCAAUACAGAAUGUAUCUUACACCUUGCCCUUUUCUGCAGGCACUGCUGUGGGGUCAGAGGUUGGCUAGUGUAUGCGAUGGUCUGCUACACCGUACUGUACCAUAGAGACAAAUCUCAAACCAGCAGUAUAAAAAGUGCACAAUCAGGAUAUGUAUUAGAAAAAGAUUUUCAUCUUGCCUCCUAUUCCAGCAACUUGGAUUAGGGUUUAUUUGUGUAUAUAGCAGGAAUAAUAUAUACCCAGAUGAAGUGUUGACCUUUCAGUGCAACUGCUGGGUCAACACAAUAUUAUUAAGUCUUUUUUCCCUGCAACAUAUAGACAUGGCCCUAUUUUAUGUAAUUGUCCCUAUUUUCUAAAAUGCAAGUUACUUCUUCUGUCUGUCAUUGUCUCUUGUAAGACUCCCCUCAUUCUAAUUGCAUGUCAUGCCUUUCCUUUUGUGCUGAGAAAAUGUACUCCAUUAACUGUCUGACUCAUUCAACAGUUACUAGUUUUUGGUGUUUCUGUGAUGUUGAUACAACAGUUGUUUCUUCAGUAACUGCUUGAGUCCUGGAAUGCUAUAGGUUGGCAGUGUUUGAGCAGAUCAAUUCUUGUAUACAGUUGUUGGUUAUUCUUUUCAGAGAGGAACAAAAAGUCAUAUAAAGUGGUGAAGUUUUCAAAUUUUCGGCAUGGGACUGAACUGGGAACAGGGCCCUGCAACUCCUUCCCAAAGAUCCUGUUUGAAUCUGGCAGCAAAAGAGCAUCGUUAGAGAGCAGCAGUGAAAGUGUGACAGCACCGUGGGCAAGCUACCAAGUGCAUGCAAAGGUCAGCUAGCGGGUGAAAGGGGAGUGCAAGAAUUAAAUGAAAAGAGGAAAAUGCCAGGGUUGUGCUGACGUUUUCAUUAAGUAAAUCACUGAAUACAUGUAACAACUCUGACAUUUACUUAUGCAGUGGUAGAAAUCACUGCAUUGUGCGUACUGCAUGUUUUCCUGUUCAGUCAGCUUAUUGUAGAGCUGUGAUAAAGAGGAGUGUAAUCAUUUCACAAUACCAGUGAUACAAAAUUGUUCUUCAGCUCAACUCUUUCUCCAUUAUAUGAAAUAUAUUAUAGCUGUCCACGUAAGUCAAUAUCUUUCAUUAUGCCUCCUUCCACCUCUAUGCAUAUCAUAGCUGUAAUCAUCCCUUUAAAAUUAUUUCUGAUGUUGCUCCUUUCUAUACAAAUUAUCCACCUUUCCUCUAUCUUUAUCUUGAACAGGUGUGUUCACUAAAUUACUUCAGCUCUGCAUCGUACAUCGUAAAGUCUGUUUUCGGUUCUACAGCUAGAAAAUUUUACGGUGAUAUCCCUUAAUGAAAGGAGUCAUUGAUCGGGUCUGAAUGACUGGUGAAACCUUCACAGAGCAGAGUGUGGUGCUUUUUAGCAUCCAGCAGCUUAAUAUGCAUAUGGAAGAACUGAAUCUGCAUUGGACUCAUCAAAGUUGCAUCACUUUGGCAAUACCAAGUUGUCAUAAAAGGGUAAAACAGCCUUUGGAAAUACUCCCCACUUCGGAGGUGUCGUGGGGUUACGGAGAGGUCCAGAAUGGUCAAUUAGCUGGCUCUUCUGGAUGGGUGGAUUGCUCCUAAGGGAUCCUCACAGCCAGAAAAUGGACUGGAGUAGCUUGAAACCUUCUCUAAUUGAUGCUGGGAGUGCAACAGGUUCACAGCCGACCUGAGAACCCAGGGAAUGCAAAGGUGCUCCAGAGCACUUGGUAGUAAAUUUUGCCCCCCUGGAAUUCCAUAGCAAAAUUCACACUGACUUUGAGGGUGGCAGAAUGGGAGGCCAGAUUUAAUGCUUGGCAUUUAGUCUUCUUGGAAGAUACUUGCAGUGCUGAGCCAGCAACCCUUGGGGUAUGACAUAUGGCCUGUUUAUUUCAAUUUCGUAUUCAUCAAGUUUCAUUCCUUCUGCUAUUUCUUUGUCUCUAAUGGAAUGUCCAUUUGCACUAAGAACAGUAUUAGAAUCCUAAUGUCCAUCCAAAGACACAAAAAUGUGCUUCAGACAUUGAUCGACUGUGUUUUACAACAGACUGAUGAGGUGUGGCAUAAUAUUCCCAUUUCACAGACUGGCCAAAAAGGGCACAGGAGGGACAUGGGUGCCACAGCGCGAAUCUUUGGUUGUCCUUCUGCUGGGUGAAAUUAUCAUUGCAAGGGAAAGUGGAGUCGAAUGGAUAUGUUCAGUGAAAGGAGAGCUCUGAUCACAUAACAUUUUCUGUGCUUCUCCUUGCUGUUCAGAUGGCUCUGCGCACUCUGUGAAUAAUCCACCUCCGCCUCAGAGCACCACCGGCAAAGCUGAGGGAGGUGGUGGUCUCGCAAAUCCUGCUUGGCUGCUGGCACAAGGGGGUGGUAGCAAGCACUUGGGCAAAAGUAGUAUCUUAAAUUGUUCCAGCUGUUUCUACAGGCAUGUCUGUAAGCAUCUGAGAAAGUCACAGGAGGAGGUACUAGUAGUUGAAAAUGCUCUGGAAGGGAGCAAAGGGAACCCUUGCUGCGUGCAGCCUUCUCACUCGGUGCUCAGAUGCAGUAGGUUGGCUGCUUUCUGUGCAGAGCCAAGAAACUGGAAGUGUCAGAGCAUAUCUACACUUUUAGUUAAAUCAGCUCUCUAGUUUGCUCUUGGGACCUGGCUUCCUGAUCAUCCACAAUGCAUACGUGGUAGUUUACUUACAGGCUUUCUUCUGGAGUGCGCCAGCCAGUUCUUUUUAAAAUAAAACCUGGAUGUGGAUCUGUGGGUAGCUCACUCCAGGGAGGGCUCCCUUCCAGACCUCUGUAUCAGACCGUGGGACAUUUGUUUGCACAGUCCUCCCACACUGUCUCAGCAAACCUUGCACCCUGAAAUACCUCCGUGUGUCACAUGCUAUGCCCAGCGCACACACUGUAGACUCUUGGCAUGCUGUUUUAAAAUACCGUUCUGGCAGGUUGUAUUAAGGUCGUCAUUUUGUGUAUUUUGAACAGCAAAAGCAAACCCUUCAACAAAAGAAAUGUACUUUGGGGCAGCUACUGAAGCAACAAAUAGUGCUAGAGGGAUCUAGGCCAAGUGCAGCACAGUGUGCACUGCAAUGCACUUUGGACGCAAUUGGUCCUUUACUGAUGGAGUGAAACCCCAAGGAAAUAGAGAUGCAAGCUCACUGUACCAGGUGGUCUGGAGCUAGAGGAGAAUUUCUUUAGUAGUGUAGAUGUAGUCUUUAUCUUCUUAUAAAUGUUACCAAGCGAGGCCAAGGUCAUCAAAAAGGUCCGUUUGGGGGUUGACAAUAGAUAGAAGAGUUUCUGAGUUCUAGUCACAAAACUAUUCUUUCCUUUUUCUGAAUUAGAGUUGAGAUGUUUCCUUUCAUGACAUCAAUUUAGUGUACCUCCAGGAAAAAAUAAGACGAUAUAGCAAAGGAAAAGGUCUUAAUACUUUAUAAAUGAUAAAAUAAAUGAAGAACAUGGAAGAAAAGUUCCAUAUUUUGGACUUUAUUCUUCAGAAAAAGUUCAGGUCCAUGCUGAUAAUUUACUGAAUCUGAUAUUUCUGAUAAAAAGAUCACAGAAUGAAUAAAUGAAUAUUCAUCUCAAUGCAGGGUGGGCUCAGCAGGUGCUUUUAAAGGGGCAUAGCUCAAUUCUGUGAGCUACAGUUGAGCCCAGGGAGGGAUUUCCAACUUACUCCACUGGUGUGUGCUCCUGUGGGCAGGGCCCCUCCAUUAGUACUGGAAUAUAUUCCAUGUAGUGGGAAAGGAAAUAGCAUCAUAAAUCAGACCUGCUGUCACUGUAGUGGAAAGGAGAUCUAUCACAAGAACAUUCUCUGCUGACCACUGUCAGUGGGAUUGUUUCCUUUGUUAUGCUAUGCAGUAAAACAGUAAUAGCUUGAUAAUAAUGAAUUGUAUACCUCUUAAGAAACUAUAUUUGAAAACAGACACAUUUACUGUAUUUGCAAAUGUGAUAAAUCGAAGCUAAAUACUUGACUGAGGCAUCAGACGUAUUCCAGGAUUUAUUUCUACCAGUCUUACUGCUCCAGGGAUUUUUUUUUUAGAGUCUUUCCUUUGUUUCUAUUGCUCCCUAGUUGAAAUGUCUUCUGUUUCAUUUGCUUUUCUGUUUUCAACAGUUCCUGUGACAAUGUCACAUAGUCAUUUCUGUUAAAUCAUAAUUGUUAUCUUGAGCUUGUUAGGUGUUUAGCAAAUGCUUGAACAUUUCUUGUAUAACCCAGCAAACUUAACAAUAGAGUGUGAAAAACUGAACAAUGCAUAUAUUCUUGUUUCUAUAUGGCUUGAAAAAACAUGCUGCAACUAUCCAUUUUCAGUUAAAACAUGAAUACCUAGAAAAAAAGCUGAAUUUACUAUUGAUAAUAUAACCAAAUGGGAAUGAACGCAGUACGUAUAAUAUACUUUUGUAAAGCUAGAUGCCUGUUACAAUAUCUGCAGUAUUUUUGCACUUACGGCAUUUUUGUUACAAAAAGUAAUUUCAUUUGUAAUAAUUCAGGUACAUGAGUUGCAGCUAGUAUGUCUGUGUACAUUUUUGUAUUAUGUUUUUAUAAUAAGCCUAUCAUCAAAAUAUCAAAAUGCCCAAAGUAUUGAAAUAAUCAUUCUAACUGAUUCAGGAAAGUCCUGCUGAUGGUGGCUAGGUACCGUGGUUAGCAUCAUAUUAUAAAUGAGUAAGAACAAGGCAGACAGGUAAUUUAUGGAGGCAGAAGAUCUCAGUGUGACAAAAUGCCUACUGCAGAUGGCAGGAAGGCUUUGAAGAAAUUCUGGUUGGUGCUGAGAGAGGCUAAGUUGCAUCUUGAAGUGAUAAUAAUAAAUAAUAUCCAUCCUUUAGUAAGUUUUAAUUAUGGGCAAUUUAAAAUGAUUUGUUUAGCCAAGGUCAUACUUGUAAUAUGUGAAGCAAAAUGUUAAAAUGGAGAAGCUUUAUACCAGGGCUAAGCUUGUUUUGUUUCAGAAAUGGAUUUCUUUUCUAAGGCUGUCAAACAAUAGGAAAUAAUCACCCAGUACUAAUUACCACAAAAAAAUGAAAUAACCCUGCAUUAAAGUGUUGUAUUAUCUGGUAGAUCUCGUCCCUAAACAGAUAAAACAGUUAGGGUGAUGCUUGAAACAAAGUUACUGUCCAGAUUGUGCAGUACACUGUCUGAUUUCCCUGAGCUUUUUAAAGAGAUGUAUCUCUCUGGUAUAGAUCCCCGUGGUCUACUUACAAAGAAAUUUCAUUGCCAUGCUGUGCGGUCCUCAUGGUGCUGAAAGUAAAAUAUUGGAUUGACAGGCACUCGUUCUGGAGGAGGGCUUAUUGAUGAUGGAAAGACUGAUUCAAUCUCUAAUCCUGAAGAACGACCUGCCACCUGGAGUGAUAGUAUACAGAUGGGUGCAAUCUAAACUCUCUUUCCGCCUCAAGUUGCAUUUGGCUGUAGAUUAACAAUGUGAUUCCAUAUAAUGAAGAUGGUUGUUUGGUGCAGUGGCAAUUUUCCAUUACUGACAUGCAAUGUCAACAGUUCUGACAAAGCUAUAAGGACAAUGUUUAAAUGUGCUACAUCUGGCUGGGACUGUUGCCAGGUUAUUAACAGCCCCAUUAAAAUUACCUGCAGUGAACUGCUUUGGUAGGAGGGAAUAUAGAGUACUGUUUCCCCUGCAACUAGCUACUCAGACAUAAUAACAGUCCAGUAGCACACACUCGUAAUAAUACAGUGUUAUGGUAGCGGUAGCAGAAUUUUUACAGUGUUAUUUUGAUGAGGGAAUAUUUUAUAGCUUUAAUCGUAUUGAAUGUAAUUCUCCAGGCUCUACUCAGGCAAAUAUCCCAUUGAAGUCAAUGACAAUUUCACCUUAGGAUGGAGCUACAUCAGUAGGAUAUGGUUUUAUUAAUGAUAUUUCUAAUAAAAAUACUCUGAUGGCAAACAUGUAAAUAUAUAUGUAUAUGUGAAUAGAUAUAUAAAGUUAGAUAUGAAUGUCU